Cebus imitator (Panamanian white-faced capuchin) is the source of this 90-nucleotide long non-coding RNA. RefSeq lists it as uncharacterized. Lineage: Eukaryota; Metazoa; Chordata; Mammalia; Primates; Cebidae. The transcript has 2 exons. The record is from RefSeq and is a predicted model, not a curated record.
CACUUGAACCCGGGAGACAGAGGUUGCAGUGAGCCAAGAUCACACUGCAGUCCACCCUGUGCCACAGAGGGACAUCCUGUCUCAAAAAAA